This 15208-nucleotide long non-coding RNA is filed under the name Cucumis sativus (cucumber). Its description in RNAcentral is "long non-coding RNA (CSAT_LNC000069)". Lineage: Eukaryota; Viridiplantae; Streptophyta; Magnoliopsida; Cucurbitales; Cucurbitaceae. The record is from RNAcentral.
AAGCUGUAGGAACUUCUGGAUUACAUUGGCUCGAGGCUCCUUCACCCAAUUACCAUCCAUCAUUCUUUCGUCCUUGAAAUUGAACCCCUUAACGAAUGUUUUUUCGCCGCUAAGACGUGCAUUGUCGGCCCCAAAGUUUUGAGGUAAAGUCGACUCCUUUCUUCUCGCAAGAGCUCUCUCUACUUCUGUAAUUCCUCGCCCGUACGCAGUACCGCCCACCGAACACUUGAUGAACUCCAUUGAAUUGCAAGUCAAUGUACCCGUUUUAUCGGAAAGAAUAGUGUCAACUUGGCCAAGCUCUUCAUUCAAAUUUGACGUGCGGGCAUGAGCUGGCUUAUCAGUUUCCUCAUGGUACAUAUGUAGAUCUUGGUUGAUGAAGACACUCUGCAGAACUUUGACAAUUUCAAUGGACACAUACAAUGAUAUGGGAAUCAAAUAGCUAAAAAGCAUAAGAGCAGUCAAAAACUGCAAUACUGCUGCAGCUGGAGCAUUUUUGGGGUUGUAAUAUGUUGUGGUAUCAUCUGGCCGUAGGUACCAUCUCGUAGCUCUUCCAUUUUCUAAAUCGUCUCUAGUCUUAACACCAAAGAAAAUUGACCCAACAACUGAUAACAAAACCAAGACAGCAAACAGAAAGAACACAAUCUUAUCCAUCCUUUUCUCAAUCUUGCUUCGCUUGGAAGGAGGAUCUGUUGAGUUCUGAAUAACCUUUGUAUCGUGACCAGUGAAAAUCACCACCCCGUAUACAAAAUCCGUGUUUCGAAGCUUUGAGUCUCGAAGAAGAAGUUGUUGAGGGCUGAGGGGAUGUUGUUGUUCUUCAAGCAACAUACUACCUACGAAGGAAUACAAAUUGGCAUUGGGGUCUUCACAUUUUAUUGUAGCCUUGAAAUUUUGGAAGCUUGAAUCAUCAUGUAAGUUCGAGCUUGCUUCUAAUGCGUUUUUCAGUUUCAAAUUUGUUUCUCCAUCAAGAUUCAUCGUCUCGACGUAGCAAAUCGCUUCCUCAUAACUCGACGAAAGUAAAAUGAGAUCAGCGGGGAAGAAUUCAUCCUUCUCCACUCUAACUACAUGCCCAACUCUCAAGUCCAUCCAUUUAGUCUCAACAAACUCACCAUCUCCAAUAUGUACUUUCACUUUCCUGUUAUUCAUUUCCAUAUCCUGAAAACAAUUACCACAAAAGAAAAUUAUAAAAGGAAAAACUUUGAGCAGUCGUCCUAAACUGAAAAUAGAAAGAUUCCAAAUUCACCUGUUUGGUUCUCCUCCAAUCUUCAAGAGCUUCUUUGCCCAUGGUGACUCCAAUAACAACAACAAGAGGAAGAACAUUGCUGACAGGCGAAUAUGGAGAAAGAGGGGUAAAGGAUAGCAAAGCACAAAAAAGGAAAUACAAGUUGGCAACCCUUCUGAAUUGCUCAAACAAUGAUUUGGGGAAGAAUGAAGCAACAGUAUACUUUGAAGUUUUGACAUAAUUGCCUCCAUAGUUAAGAAGAUUAGCCUCAAAACUAUCUGGAUCGUUGCAGUAAACUAUCCUUGAGAAUCCUGGCCCUCCAAUUAAAGAAUGUUCAUCUUUGAAUGAAGCUCUACCACAAGGAAAAGCGUGAAUCCUUCUGAAAUGUUGCUUCCUCCUUUUUCUACCACUCCCCAUUUAUAAAUCCAACUAUACCUUCUAGUUUAAACCCUUGUGUUGCUGCAAAAAAAUAGCAAAACUUGAACUAACAAAAAUGUCUCAAAACUUUUCUAAUCCUGUUUUUAUAUGGUUGGUUGAUGUAGAAGAAGAAGAAAGCUAAAAUAGGACGUAGAAUGAGAAAUGGGGUCUUAAAGACAAUCUAAAAUCCCAAGAAAUGAUUAUGUAAGAACAGAUAGCCGCUCAGGACACAAAAGGGGUUAAAAGUGAAAAGAAGGAAAAAGUAUAGAGAGCUAAAAUAGAAUGUAGAAUGAGAAAUGGGGUCUUAAAGACAAUCUGAAACUCCCAAAAAUGAUUAUGUAAGAACAGAUAGCCGCUCAGGAUACAAAAGGAAGAUUCUAUGAAACAGAGCAGUUUAAUACUGUUCAUAUCUUCCCUCUUUCCAUUUACAAGCCCUCGGAUUUGACUAAUACCUUCAAGACGGCAAAUCAGAGAUGGGUAUUAUUUUCUUUUAUUUUCUUUUUUUUUUUGAAGAAGAAGACGAGUUUUUAGUUUUUUUUUUACAGAACUCAACAACUUCAAAGGUAGAUUUUCUAAAAUCAAAUCGUAAAAAGUAAAUCACAAAAACAAACCCAACCCACAAUGAGAUAUUGAAACCUCACCAUUUUUCUUUUCCCUCAGGCUGCUGCUAAAACAAAAACGAAAGAGCUGGAAUCUCACGUCAUCGGCAAAACCAAAGACUUUUUAGAAGCGUUGACCAAGCCUUCUUUGCCUUCUUCUUCAAGUCAAGCUCAAAAGGUUAAAGAUUUUGCAGAAAAAAUCACAAUAGUAAAUCUGGGUUGAGCAUGUUAGUCUCUGUUUUGCUCUGUUCUUUUUUUCUUUUUCAAAGAGAACAAGAAAUGUGGUUGAAGAAUCGAAGAAACUGAAAGCAAUCUAAUAAAUGAAGGUUUCCUUUAAAAGUUAAAAAGAGUUUACUACAGAUUGAGUAAUACUGACUAGUGAGUAAAUAAAUUUAUGAUCUGAGUCUCUAACCCAGUUGGAAAUUUCCUGUCAUGAUUAUAAAAUUAAAUUCUGUGCUAAAAACAAGCGAAUUAUAAGAUGAUUCGUGUUAGAAAUGGAGAGGAAAAUAGUUAUAAGAAAAAGACAGUUAAAAGUGAAAGUGAAGAUGAGUUGGAGGAAGAGCAGGAGAGGAUCUAGUGAAUAUCUAUUGUUUAUUCAUUUAUUUACAAAACUUAAAAUUGUUGAAAAGAUUGAAGAAGAACAAGAAGAAGAAGAAGAUGGCGGAUGAGGCUGCGUUGGGUUAGGGUCAAACUGAACCAUUCUCAUGCUUCAACUAUUAUCUUAUUUAAUCUCUCUUCACAUUGUUAAUACCCAAAAUACCAUUGUUUUCUAUAUAACGAAUGCUUUUUAUUUUAUGUCAACAUGUGAGCUUAAGUUAUCUUCUUCCUUAGGGAUGAGAGAGUACACAACGACGACUUAUUCCACACAUCUUUUUCUUCGGUCUGGAAAAUCUUUGCCGUGGGUGUGGGUGAUGGGUUUGCGUGAUGGUGGAGGGAGUGAAUGAAGAAAAAGAAAUUGUAAUGAUAUAUAUGAUUAAGGAAUAUGAAUACGACUCUUGAUAUGUGAAUCAAGAAAAGCAUAUAUUGAUGGGGUCCUCGAAAAUGAAUUCUUUUCCUCAAUCACAUUGGCCUAUUUUUGACAUUCAAAUAUUCUUAAGUUCUAUUGUUUACAAUUGAAAAGUGAAACAAAAAUGGAAUUUUUCAUGUAAUUCUUAAUUACUCAUUUGUUUUCGAAAUCAAAUUCGAUUAAAAUCUGUGUAUUUUUUCAGUUUUAUUUUCUAAAUAAGUUGAUAAAGUCUCGUUUUGUUCGUUAUUCAUUUUUGUUUUAAUGUUUUCAACAAUAAGAAAUGUAUUGAAAAUGAUCCUAACCUCAAUUGGAAUACUUGUUUUGAAAAACGAUUUCCGAAAACAAACCUUAAAAUAACCUAAUUUAAUAUCGUUUUUUUUCUUUUAGAAACUACGAGCAUAAUCAUUUUCAAAUUCCGCUAUACAUAAUUUUUAAAUUUCAAAUUAAAACCAAACGUGUUUCCAAGAACUAAUUGAUUUUUGUUUUCUACUUAAAGUUUUGUGUUUUUAAAACAAUUUAUAGAUCGCAAACCGGACGGGAUCUAAGGAUCCAUGUUAAUAUUUAAAUUAUUUAAUGCUAACACAAAUUCUAAUAGUGUUUUUUUUUAAGCAACUAAUCUUUGAAAAGUUGAAUAGUAUAUAUAUAUAUAUAUGUUUGGUUAAUUUUAAGCCAUCGAAUUUUAAAAAUAUCGGAGGAUUAAAAAAAAAUGUAAAACAGAAAAAAAGGUAUGAAAAAGAUUCAAAUUGGUUUAAAGUAAUUGAUAUAUAAUUAGGAUAUUAAUUAGCAUGUGGGGUAAGUUGUUUCAUUCAAUAAUAUGAUAUGUCAACUAUAGGAUUAAUUACACAAAGUCUCAUUUCGUUAUCAACAUUAUUCUUCAAAUCAAAAGUGCUUCAAUUAAGAAUAAUAAUACUAAAGCUCAAGAUUAUCCAUUUCAUAAAUUAAUUAAUGAUAAACAAAAAAAGUGAAAGGAAUUUGGUAAAAAGGGAUCUGAAAAUAAAAAUUUAGAAAUAUUUUCAAUUUUAAUAUAAUGAAAUUUCAUAAAGUUAGAUAAAGAGAGAUUUGAUAGAAUUGGAUGUGAAUAUCUUUUUCUCAUUUUCAAAAACCCUAAUAAUUCGUACGGAUCUUAGUCAAACCUUUUGGGUUGACUAAUUUUUUCCUCCGAUUCCACGUGGCACCCCCACAUUGCACCAAAUGCUUUUACUUACUAAUUAGUUUCGUCUCUCUGCUAAGGAACCUUCCAUUUAUUUAUUUAUUUUAUGGAAAUUUCUAUAAAUGAUCAUAGUAUUAUUUUGGCUCAUUUAUUUUUUAAAUGUCAAUGAUUGAGAUUUGAGAAUAGGGAAAAACUUGGCAAAAGAAAUAUAUAUAUAUAUAUAUAUAUAUAUAUAUAUAUAUAUAUAUAUAUAUAUAUAUAUAUAUAUAUAUUAACUAUUUUAGAAAGGUGUGUGGUGCGGAGAACAUUCAAAAUAAAAUGUUCGCCGUAUUGAGAUGACCAUUUUUCUCAAUUGAAUCUAAUGUUGUAACUUAAGUUAAUAACUAGCGAUACGACUGGGAGAACAUGUAAGUCAGUAAAUCAUAAAUUAAUUGGUAACUCAGUUCAAUGACUAUGUACUUAUGUUUGGGGUGUCUUAGACCCAGAUAAGAGGAUAUAUUGCUCAUCAUAUAAUGGAUACUAUUACAAUGUUAUGACUCAGAGGACAACACGUUAUUCAUAGUGACCAUUGACUAACUUAAUAAUUAUCUAAAUCAUGUUAAACAUAAAAACAUGUGUCAUAACAUUAUGGGAAGCACUCCCCCCUAAAUCAAUAAACAUGAUGUAAUCUCUUAUGCUUCAAAAGCAUCGAAGAAGCUCUUACCUUACCGUAAUCAUCAAUAUAUUCGUUCAAGACCAAAAGGAGAACGAUCACCUCUCUUCUGAUUUCUUGUUCCACCUUAUACAAAUUAGAAUCUUCAACAAUAUUUACUUAAAUGAUAUCCAAACAACCCAAGAAAAUAGAAAUAUUACAACCAGAUAACCGUAAAUAAAUAAUCUUUUAAAUAAAGAUAGUGAGACCACUUUACAACAUAUAACCUAAUUAAAACGGUCAGUCUCUUUAAUAAUGUUUCACUUAAAGUCUAUUUUUUCUAUAUGUUUUGGGUCUAGUCUUUCGUUAAUUAAGUUAUGUACUCGUUGAUUGAUUUAGAAAACUAUAUCCAACACACUCAAUCUACAUAUAAUUAAGAGAUUACUUAAAUGAUGGAAAAGAUCAAUUCUUUGGAAUUUGCUCCCAUCCAUUUUUUAUUAUUCUAUAUGUUGGUCUAACUUGGGAGAUGUUUUUCUUUUUGUUUAUAGAAAAGUAUGUAAAUACGAUAUUAUCAUUAUUAAAAAAAAAACAAAAACCCUAUGAAUUAUUGUAAUAGGACCUUCUUUAACACUUUGAAUUUGAUAUCAAUUAUCAUCUCUCUUUAGUUAUAAUUUAACCCUACCCUCUCAAUUGGACCUGCUAUUAAUUGUUUCUCAACUAAACCUUCAACUCCAAAAACAAAACAAGUUCCUAUUAUUAUUAAACUUCAUAUAACUACUGCCAAGUAAAAUUAAAUUCAGUGGUACUAUAAUAAUUUUAUAUUUUGAAUGCUUGAUUAAUGCAUGGUUCACAGAAAACUUCAUGAAUUUUCCAAUGUUUAAAGUUUAACAUAUAUAAUUAGCUAUGGGUGUGUGCAUGCUUUGAUAAUAUAGAUGAAGUAAUUUAUUUAAAUAUUUCGAUUACAACAACUUCACUCUACUCUAAAUUUGAAUUAAAUUUAACUUUUUGUUUAGUUUUGUUAUUAUCGAUGUCGAGCUUUGAAAUAGCCGAGGGAAUUAAAUAUCCAUUUUGGAGCCUCUUGCAGCCAUGGGUUCUAAGUUCUAACGAUUUGGAUCUUUUCCUAUUAAAGAAGAAAAAGAAGAAGAAGGGAUUUUGAUAAAGUCUAUGAGACUGCGAAAAUUGCACCGCCGGACGGACGGAGCCACCGCGUAUUCUCCUCAUGCCGUCGUCCUAAUUUAAAUAUCAUUUAAUUUUUAAUAAUCUUAACAUUUAUUCAAACUCUGAUCACAAAAACUUUGUAUUUUAUUUAAAUUGUUUUUUUCCCAUUUUUUCUAAAUUGAAAUUCCAGUCAAGUCUGAGAAAUUUAAAUAAAAUGAAAUAUUGGGUUAUUAGAAAUUUAUUAAUACAAAUAGGAUAAAUCCAAAACGUGUCAAUUAUAUUUAAAACGUCGUCGUUUACCCUUUUUUUCCCUUUGAAUUAUUUGGAAAUAUUAUUGGAAAAGCCUCUCAUUCGAUGCUGAUAUAUAUAUGUAUAUAUAUAUAUAUAUAUCCAUUUUUUGAAUGGAUCAAGAUGUUGUAAAUUACCUAACAAUAUUCAUUACACAUUCAUCAAUUCAACUCAACUCAACAUCACGUUUUUCAUUCAUCAUUUAAAUUAAUUUUAACCAUUUAUAUAUAUAAAUUCUUGUAAGAAUGACACUUUAUUUUAAAAUAUAUUUGGUUAUAUAAUUUGAAUAGAAUAAGCUAUUAGUUAUUAACAUUGUGGAAUGUUAUUGUAUAAAUAUUGUUUUAUUUUCUAAGCAAUAAAUUAAUAUUUAAGCCGAGUUGUAGUCUCAUAUAACGAUAAAAUUAAACACAAUCAUGCAUACAUAUUUUAUUACUAACUAAUUAAACUUUAUAUCUAUUUGAAUUUUUCCAAAGAGAGGAAUUGUGUAUAGCUUUGUCUAUGUCAAUGAAUUUAUUUUAAAAACGAGUACAAAUAUAUAAAUUAUCGUUUCUUAUUAUUAUUGUAUCAUUCAAAGUCGUUGCUUGGAGUUAAUAAAAUAUCAAUGUUUUAUGUCUCGAGAAUAUGUCCAAUAAUAUUUUUAUCUAACAUUAUUUAUUCAUCAUUUGUUUUUUGUUCAGAAUAUUAUAAGAUUGGCACUGAAUUUGAUGUGAUCAAACGAUCAUUUCUCCCCUUUUUCACGUUUUCAAUUAUUCAAUAAGACCUAAUUUGAAGUUUUAUUUAAUUGUUAGUUCAAUUUAGUUCUUAAAAUUAGUUAAAUAAUGAUUUAGUUCUGAUUAAAUCGAUAAUGAAAUGUAUAUAUAAACUAUGUAAAGUCUUGUAUUAAGAAAAUUGAUGGUUGAUAAUUAAAGUUUUUAUUGAAAAUUUCUCUUCAAAGGGACUAAAAUUGUGAUGAUGAUUACAUUCGGAAUAUAAGAGCUAAAGAUUGUUGAAUUUUAUUAAAGUUUUGUAAUUAACUAAAUUCUUACCAAAAGUUUAAUUUAAAAGGAAAAGCAUUGAAACAAUUACCCUAAGACUAUUAAUGACUUUAGUAUUAUUUUGUCCCAGUAAAUUGUUAAGCAUCACAUGGUAAGAUUAAUAUAGUUUGAAUAUUCAAAGUUAAAAGUAGAAAAGAAAAAUAAUUGAGUACUAAACAAAUUUAGAGAUUAAUAAUGCAUAUAUGAUUAAUUUAGACCUACAAUAGCCUAUUUUGAUAUUAUUCGAAACUACUAAUAAACUAAUUCAACACAAAAGUUAAAAUUAUUACACAAUUAUAUAUUAGUUCCUAAACUUUUAUAUAUGUUUAAUUGUUUUUAUUAGAUUUUUAAAAUUAAAGAAAAAAAUCUAAUAGAUUCCUAAACCCUCAAUUUUUUAAUUUUAUAGGUAACAAUAUUCAAAAAUAUUUUGAUAAUUUAAUAAUUAAAUUAGUGUAUAAGACUUCUAAAUUUCAAUAAUACACUAAUUAUUACUACAAUGGUCGACUUAAUAAACACAAAAUUUAAAAUUUCUAUUAAAAACACAAAAUCAUCUUUUAUCUUUCAAAAUUAAUCUUUUAUCUCCUCUCAAUUUCUUACGAUAAUUUAUAUAUUUAUUUAGUAAUUUGUAGCUAAAUUUCAAUAACAAAUAUAACUUUCUUAAAAAGUUUUUUUUUUUUUUCAUAUUUUGGCUUAACUUUAUAGAACACCAAUUAAUUAAGUAGAUGACGAAUAAUCUAUAAAUUUAGAAAUGGAAUGAGCGUUCACUAAAUAAAUGGUUAUUAGACCUACGAUCUUAAUUACCACUUGUUUGUAAAACUUUAAAAGAUCUAUUAGACACAAAAUUAAAAGUUCUAAAAUGAUUUAUUUGACCUAACUGUAGGUUAGGAUUGAAAUUGGAAUAAAAAUGAUAGGAAUUGUAGGAUUUAGGGAAUGAGGUGAAGGAGUUGGGUGAGGGUUGGUGGAUUUUAGAUGUAUUGAAUGGAUUAGAUUAAAUCUUCAUUCAACUCUCUAUGCCCCACUUGAUCAUAAUAAGAACACACACACCACACCCACCAUAUAAUAUAAGCUUUCACAUUAAUGCAAAUGUGACAAUUUUGAUAACAUAUACCUUCCAACUUUGAAAAAAAUUGCUCCACCUUAGCUUGUUUUGUGACCCAAAAAAUAAACUAUUGUAAUUAGAAGCACCAAAUUCCUUCGACGUCUUUUCUAAUUUAAAACUAUACUUUAAAUUGCAAAUUCAACUAAUUUUCAUGUAUAUAUAUAUCCACCUCUUUAACACUAACAAGAAAAAUGGUCUACAACCACAAUUAUUUUCUAUUGCAAAUAAAAUCAGUGAUAGUUAGUUACAGUCAUAGUAUCGUCUGUUGUGGAAAGUUUUUAUAUGACAAUUUUAAAAAACUAUCACAAUAAUUGUUUUCAUGACAAAAAAUAAAUGUCAUUAUUUAAUAUUUUAUGACAACAAAUAACUGUCGUCUUUUAUUUUUCGACAACAAAUCAUCAUUUGCAUAUUGACAACAGUUACAAAAAUGUCACGAAUUCUUAUAUUAUGACAUUUGUUCCCUGUCACCGGUAGAAGAGAUGACGACCACAGUUUGAACUUUGAAAAGAUUGCGGCAGAUUGGAGAUGACGGCACAGAUUGAAGAGGUUGCGGCAGAGGAUGUUUCAUCGUCCGGUUGAGGAGGUUGCGGCAGCAUUUGAGUGAAGAAGACGAGCACGAGGCGGUAGUGGCGGUUAUGGCAUCGAGAGAUGGUUGGAUAGAGAUGACCUUCUUCUUUCACAUGAGGGUUUGGAAAAAUAAUGCUAAGAGAUUUAGAUUGGGGGAAAAGCUUCUAUAAACUUUAAUUUUCAUUUAAAAUUAAUUUUAUUUUAAUAAAUUAAAUAAAUUAUUUAUAUAUCUUCUAUAAACAUUAAAAAAAUUGUUCCGAAAAAUUAUGUUUUUUCCAUAAAAAAAAUUAUUACUAUUUGUGACAAUUUUUUUCCUAUCCAACUAUCCCAAUAGAUAGUUUUUGUUGUAGUAAAAAUAUUUGUAGGAUGAAUUAGAAGGAUUUAUAUUAGUUAGGAUGGAAAUUAAUUAUCACAUUUUGUUUGUCUAGGGAACAUGGAAUUUGACUAUAAUUAUAAUUAUUAUCACAUUUAUUUCAAGUCAUUUGAAGAAGAAAAAUACAUAGAAUUUGUUGCUUUUAAUUUCACACACACACUAUAUAUAUAUCAUUUAAAUCAAUCAUAAGUCAUUACAACAAAAAUACAUAUUAUUAACAUCUUAAUUGAACUAUAACAUUUUAUAUGCAUACUAAUAUUUUGUUUAUAUAUAUUGUAAUUAUUUGUAUACUAUGUUCAAGUUAUAACUAUAAUUUAAUUUAUGGGUAUAUGAAGUAAAGUCAACUUAAUUAAUGGUAAUACCAAAUAAUUUGGAAUCAUUUGAAUAAAGAAUAAUUGAAGGUUGAAAAAUGGUGAAAUAUAAUCUACUUAUUUCAACUGAUUUAUUUCAAUGAAAAACCCUAAAGUUUUUUUUAUUAACUUUUGGAAAGAACCUUGAAGUUUUAUUUUCUAUGAAUGGAAUAAUUCUUAAUGAUCUUGUUCAAGAUUUGACUUCAUAAUGCACAAUUCAAACUUUUGCACUAAAUUAAUAAAAUAAAUACAGAUUUAGAACUUAAUCUAACUUUUUAAUGUUUGUUAGCAGAAUCCCAACCCACACAGCACCAACAACCACUAUUUCUCUUAAUAUAUAUGAACAAGUAAUGUGAUAUUUUAUUUACUUAUUUGCUGCAUAACAUUCUUUCUUUACUACAAAUGUAUUAAUCUCUACUCCCCAAAGUGGAUACCAAAAACAAAUUACAAAUCUUUCAAUCUCUAAUUUUCACUGUUUCUUUAUUAGAAGUAAAAGUAAAAGUAAAGUUUAAAUUUUAAUUUUGAAAAAGCUAACAAAGCAUAAUAUUAUUAAUCUAAAUGAAUUUUAUCUAUUACAUUUUUUUACUUGUUUUUUUUUCAAUUUAUUUAUCGUCAUCUUUUUUUUAUUAUUAGGUAUUUAAUUGUUUAAUACUGCAUUAAAAAAAGAAAUCUUGUAGUUUUCAAAACCUAACAUAAAUUUUAAACUAUAUCAUAUAAAUAUAAGGAAAAUCAUAAAGUGAAUUGUAAUGGUUUUUUAUAAGUUAAAUGAUGAUCAAAUUAAAAUGUUGUAAGCCUUAGAUUUGUUCAUCCUUCAUUUCGAUCAUCUUUAUUCUUUUUUAUUUGAAAAGACAUAUCAUUGAUAUUUGUGGUGUAGUUGAUUAAAAUAUUUGUUGAGCAAUCAAUGAUGAUUUUUUGUUUUGUGAGAAAUGAAGGAGGAUUUGUUAAAUGAUAUUUGUUGCAAGAAGAACACUUGGGUGUAAGCAUAAUUAUAAAUUAAAAAUAUGAUCACAAAUGGCUUUGGUUCAAAUCUUACCAAAACCAUUUGCUUAUCUCAAAAUGCUUUAGGAUAUAUAUAUCUAUAAAAUGUCACGAUCCUAAUUCCUAAAGUGGUUAUCCUAUAUCUCAUGUAAUAUCAUUUUAAAAUUAAAUUGAAUAAAAUAAAACCUACCUUGUUUUAUUAUGCAAUGUUAUUAUUCGUUUUGGCAACAUCAUCAUCGUCUAUAUUGAUUGCCAUGAACUUGUAUUAUCCAUUCCAAGUUUUGAGUUUGGAUUCCCACCCCACACAAUAAUAAAUAUAUAGAACGUAUACGUUAUCAAUUGAGUUGAAAAAUACUAAUCUAUUUUAAUGCGAUGUAUUAGAUUUACAACGUGUUUAGAAUAUGUAUUCGAUGGUUUUUCCUAUGAUUGUAAAUCAAUUGAUCAUAGGGAAUAUUAGGACCAGUAGUUGUCGAAUUUGAAUUCUGAAUCCGAGUUUAAAUCUUGGACCUAGGAUGUUACAAGGACGUAUAUCUAAUUCUAAUUCAUAUUUUUACGGUAUAUAUGUAUAUAUGUUUAUUUGUUUUGUUUUUUUCAUUUUUUGUUUUUUUUGUUUAAAUAGGCUUUCUUUUGUGCAGUUUGUUGUUCCGUUUUCUAAACAGACAGUUUUGAAUGCAAAUGGAAAACUAUGGUACAGUUGAAACUUCUCAAUGAUUAUUUGAAAUGGUUGAAUACAACAAUUGACAUAUUUCCAAAAAAAUUCAUGAAAGGAAGAAAAUUUUUGACCAUUUGAGUUUGGAAUGGUCACUUAAGCUGCAAAGACAUCAAACUACACAAGAAUCUUAUGUACACAUGUUGUAUAAAUAUAUAUAUAUAUAUACACUGAGAAGAAGCUUCCUAUGAAAAAAUGUUUUAAAUCUUUCUAUGGUUAAAAAAUCUCAUAUGCAAAUUAAACUAAUGACUCUUGAUUUCUGAGAAUUCUUCAAAAUGCUUUGAUGCUUCGAACCGAGCUGUGUAACCGACGGUUGUGUGUCGUAAUGAUCUCUGUCUCACUACUUGACAGUAUUCCGGAUCGUUCAACUGUCCGUCAGCUUUUAUCCAUUGAAUCAUUUGAUGAUACAUUGGGAAGAAUCGCAUUUGGAUCGAUGCAAAGAUGAAGUAUGGAAGAAGGGAAGCUCCCAGAGCCAAUAGUGUGAGGAUCCAAAACGAUGGUGCUGGAGCGCAUGCCUCGAUGAAUACCUGAAAUGCUGUGGUUGAUAUAGUUGGGUUUAUAGCUCCAUAUGCCAUGAGGAAUAAGUACCAAAGUACGAUGCUGCCCCAGAUGAAGAGAUGUUGAAUAUAUGUGAAGUAACUGAUGGACAAUGCCAUUUGGCAGUUUACAACCCAAACAACACAAGUGUACAUGGUGACACCAAGAAUUUCCAGCCCGACGACCUCUCCGCUGUUGCGGAAAGCUUGAUAGUCCAUUGCCCCAACACAAAAGAAGAAUAUGAUGACAGAACUGAGUAGCCCAUUGAACACCCAUCCAAAAAUUCGAACCCAACUAAAUAACACAUUUUGGACACCUUCUUGGUAUAGAAGUGAGAACUGAAGAUGCAAAAAUAUAGAAGGCAAUAAGCCAUUUGAUAUUGUAUAUAAGAAGGGCAAAAGAUUGCAUGAAACAAAUAAAGGAAAGUUGAACUUACCUUAAGACAGUACCGGGAUGAGACGUCUUGGUCAAACACUCCCAAUGCAAUCACAGGGAGAGAAGUAAAGAAGACGUUAUACAGCGAAAGGAACCAGUCGUUGUAUACAGUUUGGCCGGAGAAUGAUGCAUACAUCUCAAAGAAGAAUAAAGUGAACCCAAAAACAAUGUUCUUGUAGAAGAAAUAGCAUAUCUGUCAUAUAUAAAACCUGAUCAGUUUGACAUAUUUCAACGAUUUUCAAGCUAAAAAUGAUGUUGAGACUGUACAGUUGCACAUUAAUCUAGAUGAUUCUCACUAAAAAGCUAAUAUCAAGUAAUAUUUAUAAAUCAUAAUGUACCAUGGAUGAGAUCCUUCUGUAACACCAAUGACCAUGCACAAGGAGCAGCCGCUCCAAGUAUCGAAACUGUGCGAUUGCAAUAUCACUUGACAUGACUGCCUGAAAUUCAGAAAGAUAUGAAAUAUAAAACAAAACUGAGAUGAAUGAAAACUUUUUGUUAUCACUCCAGCUGGGAUCUGUUUUAAAUUUACCUGCAUCCCUUCUACACCACUAAUACCGAUCCCGAUAUCCGCUUCUUGGAUCAUUCCGACAUCGUUUGCACCAUCACCAACUGCUAGAGUGGUGCUGCCUGUCUUAACCUUAACCAUUUGGGUAACCUGCAUUUAUGCAAGAUUGCAUCAAAUUAGACUUCUACUUCUAAUUUCUUGGUUUAAGUAUGCUUGAGAAGGUAUGCUUACUUGUGCUUUCUGUUUAGGAGAAGAUCUGCAGCAUAUAACUGAAGCACAACCAAUGGCAAGCUCCAGAAACAGGUCCUUCACAUCAUCCUCCAAAGCAUAGGUGAGGGACUUUCCAUCAAUUAUCAAAGCCAAUGUUUCUGGGGUUUCGGUCGAGGAUGUAAGUAAUGCUUUCGCAUCAGUUAUUUGUUGAAUCACACUUGUUUUAAACGCCUGAAAUCAGCAAUGUCCCAUCAGUACCAAAACUCGUACUGCUUUUGACAAGAUAGUUAGUUAGAUUUGGAAUCUGACACAACAGAGUUUCCAUUACAAAAGAACAAAGAUUCUACAUUAUAGUAUAAAUUGCAACAUGUAAACAUUAGCUAAUUAUAAAGCAACAACUGCAGGUUUGUCAUUUAGUUUGUGAAUCUGAUCUAUUUACCUUGAUAGCUGCAGAUUUGUGAACAUCUUCGACUUUGUCUAAGGCUUUUCCUUCUGGAGUCUCUGAACUGAUAAUUAUUUGCUUCAUUCCUUGUCUAAGUAAACUGCAGGCGAAGCUGAAAAGAGAACGUUCGGGUUUGAAACAAGAAGCUGUUAGCAUGUUGAACAUUUACAUGAAGUGGUGUGCGUUGGCGCUUAGAAAAAGUUGUAUAGAUUAUGCUUACCCAAUGUUGAUGGCUGUUUCCAUCUUAUCACCAGUCAGAACCCAUAUUUUAAUUCCGGCCUGAGCAAGUUUGUCUAUGCAUUCAGGGACCUACAAAGACAAAACAGUCAAUAACUUGUAAGUUUUUCAUCUUCAUAUGGUAUGAGUUUAUUAGUUUCAUUGUUUGAAUAAGGCAAACUACUCAUAAGAAGUGAUUUAAGUUUUUCAUGGCUUAAUUCAUACCCCAUUUUGAAGCUUAUCUUCAACUGCUGUAGCACCAAGAAGAAUCAAAUCUUUCUCAAUGCUUUCUGUCAACUGAUCGAUUAUGUCAUCACGACCUGUGCUCACCGUGUUUUUCGCUUUGAUGAACUCUUGAUGAAAUGCAUUAAACUCCUCCUCUUUCAGCUCACGAUAUGCUAGAACCAAAGUUCUUAAACCAGCAUCAGCAUACUCAUUGAUGUGCACCUUUGUUUGUUCUUCAAACUCAUUUCCAUUCUUUGCAAGUCUUUCAAACAUAACACUACAUUUCAAGGGAAAAAGAACAUGAGCUAAAAUGUCUUAACAACAAAGAAAAUAGAUCACUAUUAUAUGCAUGGGAGAACAUAAUGUUUAAGUUUACCAACCUGUCAGCUCCUUUACAAAGAAGUAGUAGUUUUCCCUUUGAAUCUCUUAUAAUCACAGACAUCCGUUUUCUUGUGCUAUUAAACUCCAAAACAUCCAGUAGCUGAUAUGAUCUGCAAACCCAUAGUCAUAAAACUCAAAGUAAAUAGACGAUUGGGAAAUUGGGAGAACAAUCAUAAAGAUGACGGAAAAUUAUUCUAUAAACUCACGGUGAACUGACCUUUCAACUUUUUUAGCUGAGGUCGGAUCGAACUCCCGUAAUGAAAUGCUUGUCUGACUCCUUUCAUAGAACUCGAAACCGAAUUCUCUGGCUGCAAUCACGAAAGCUGCCUCAUCUGGUGAUUCAGCUUCAUAAGAUAUUUUUCCAGUUUCCUCAUCAAUUUCGGGCAAUGCAGUAUGGCAAAUAGCCAAAAGCUGUAGGAACUUCUGGAUUACAUUGGCUCGAGGCUCCUUCACCCAAUUACCAUCCAUCAUUCUUUCGUCCUUGAAAUUGAACCCUUUAACGAAUGUUUUUUCGCCGCUAAGACGUGCAUUGUCGGCCCCAAAGUUUUGAGGUAAAGUUGACUCCUUUCUUCUCGCAAGAGCUCUCUCUACUUCUGUAAUUCCUCGCCCGUACGCGGUACCGCCCACCGAACACUUGAUAAACUCCAUUGAAUUGCAAGUCAAUGUACCCGUUUUAUCGGAAAGAAUAGUGUCAACUUGG